GUGCUUGCCUCGGCAGCACAUAUACUAAAAUUGGAAGGAUACAGAGAAGAUUAGUAUGGCCUCUGUGCAGGGAUGACAUGCAAAUUCGUGAAGUGUUUCAUAUAUUA
Molecule: small nuclear RNA, 107 nt
Organism: Vulpes vulpes (red fox)
Lineage: Eukaryota; Metazoa; Chordata; Mammalia; Carnivora; Canidae
Source: Ensembl